RNAcentral lists this ribosomal RNA (71 nucleotides) under Ailuropoda melanoleuca (giant panda). RNAcentral describes it as "similar to 28S ribosomal RNA". Lineage: Eukaryota; Metazoa; Chordata; Mammalia; Carnivora; Ursidae. The record is from RNAcentral.
GCAGGUACAGGCAUUUGGUGUACGUGGUUGGCUGAGGAGCCAAAGGGGCAAAGCUACCAUCUGUGGAAUUA